RNAcentral lists this long non-coding RNA (5389 nucleotides) under Solanum lycopersicum (tomato). Its description in RNAcentral is "partial TCONS_00163532". The record is from RNAcentral. Lineage: Eukaryota; Viridiplantae; Streptophyta; Magnoliopsida; Solanales; Solanaceae.
GUUUUAUAAAAAACAAAACUCCCCUCACUAUCUUCUUUGGCUUCUCGCCUCUUUCUCUGCCUCUUUUCUUAUGAGAUAUGUUGUCGCCUUGGACUAAUCCAAGCCUUUGAUUUCUAUUGCUAUGGAUUAUCAACAGUCCAGAACUUCUAUUCUUUCGUGUUGGUGUGCCAGCUAACAAGAUUGUGUCUGCUCUCAGGUUAUAUGGAUUGUGCUCCUAAUUUGCUGACAAAUCUUAUCUAUUGAAGAGAUUCUUCUUCACUUUGGCAAGCCAGAGGCAGAAGCAUUACACACAUUUAUUACAGGUACUUUUCUCAAGUGUGACUAGAUGACCACUAUUUUAUUAGAUCCCGCCUCUGCUUUUUCUUAUGUGUCUGUUAAAUUUGCGGUUAAAAUAGACACGGGUCUAUGAUUUCCUUGAUACCCAUGUUUAUGUGUCUACCAUAGUAGGUAACUCUAUCUUUGUAGAUAAAGUGUACCAUUAUUGUCCUGUGAUGUUUAUAGGUUAUUUAGCUAGGGAAAAUUCAGUAAUCCUUAAUAUGGUGAAUUUGAUAUCAUCAUAGAGAUGAGUUGGGUAUCUUCUUAUCAUGAAAUUUUGUAUUGUCGUGUAAAAACAGUGAUUGUAGCUAUGUCGUGGAUAGCUAGAAUUGAGUGAAAAAUUACUAUAAUCUUGUUUAUGUGAACAUGUUGGAGGGUCGGUACCAUACUUGAACGGUACAUAGAUGAAGCCCGUAUAUAUUAUGAUAGCACAUAUAUAAUUCAACAUCCAAAUCAAUUCAAAUUAAACUAAAUUUGAAACAUAUAGGCUAUAUAUCAUAAAUUAAAAAAUAAAACUCAAAUCAUGUUAUGAUGAAUACACUUAAGGGUAUCUUACAUGUUGAUCCACACGUGAGUAGGAAAUUGAUUGCAAAUACCAACCCAUAGAUUAUAGGCAUUAGUUCAAGUUCUUGACCUUAAGUCAACAACUCGGCCUAAUGACUAGGAUCUGCAUGUUCAUAUUUGCGAUCAAUUUAUUACUCAGUUGCGGGGGGUCAACAAGUAAGAUACCCUUGGGAGCGUUCUUAUAAAAUGAUUUGUGUUUGUCCUUUAAUUUAUGAUAUACUGCACAUAUGUUCGAAAUUUAGUUUAUUGAGAAUGUCACACUAACACUAUAUUUUUUAGGCUAUCAACACAUGCUUAGUAUAGACGAUACUACAAGUAACUAGUCUCGUGUUAGUGCUGAAAAAUCUCUGUAUUAUUAGUGUAUAUAAACUGAAAUUUCAUUUAUUCGAUAAUCAAUACCAGUUGAUCCUAUACAUGUGAUCGAACACAAUAAUUGGUACACUAGAAGAGUGUCCUUCUCGAUCCUCUACUACUAGGAAAAGGUCCUCUCAAUGAUCUAAUACCCGCACUGGAUGUAAAAUAAAAAAAAAUUGCAAUAGCUUGACAUCCAUUGCCCAAUAUGGAUUACUCAACCUCUUAUUCUAUAUACAAAAAUCAGAUUGUCCCGUAUCUAUUAUGAUAACACAUAUAUAAUUUAACAUCUAAAUUUAUUCUAAUUAAACUAAAUUUAAAACAUAUACAGUUAUAUCAUACAUUAAUAAAUAAACCUCAAUCAUUUUAUGGUGACAACACCCAAGGGUAUCCUACAUGUAGAUCCACCAGCAUAUGAGUAGGCAAUUGAUCGGAAAUACCAACUGGUACAUUGUAGGCAUUAGUUCAAGUUCUUGACUUAAGCCAAAUACUCGGCCUAAUCAUUAGAAUCUGCAUGUUCAUAUUUGCGAUCAAUUUCUUACACAGUUGCGGGGGGUCAACACGUAGGAUACCCUUGGGAGCGUCCUCAUUAUAUGAUUUGCGUUUGUUUUUAAAUUAUGAUAUACUGCACAUAUGUUCCAAAUUUAUUUUAUUUAGAAUGUCACACUAACACUAUAUUUUUUAGGUUAUCAAUACAUGCUUAGUAUAGAAGAAACUACAUGUAAUUAAUCUCGUGUUAGUGCUGAAAAAUCUGUGUUAUUUGUGUAUAUAAAUUAAAAUUUCAUUCAUUUCAUAACCAAUACCUAGUUGAACCUAUACAUAUGAUCGAAAAUGAUAAUUGAUACAUUAUAGGAGUGUCCUUCUUGAUCUUAUAGUAAUAUGAAAAGGUCCUCUCAAUAUUCUAAUACUCGGCACUGGAUGUAGAAAAACAAAUGCAAUAACUUGACAUCCAUUGGCCAAUAUAGACCUUUACUCUACCUUUUAUUGUAUAUACAAAAAUCAGAUUGUCCUGUUUAUAUUAUGAUAGCACAUAUAUAAUUUAACAUCCAAAUAUAUUUUAAUUAGACUAAAUUUGAAACAUAUACGCUAUAUGUCAUAAAUUAAAAAAUAAACCUCAAUCAUUUUAUAAUAACAACAUUUCCGAGGGAAUCCUUAAGUUCAUCCCCGCAGGUGAGUAGGCAAUUGAUCGCACAUAUCAACCGGUUGAUGUAGGCAUUAGUUCAAUUUCUUGACUUAGGUCAAAAACUCGGCCUAAUGACUAGAAUCUGCAUGUUCAUAUUUGCGAUCAAUUUCCUACACAGUUGCAGGGGGGUCAACAAGUAGGGUAUCCUUGGGAGUGUCAUCAUAACGUGAUUUUCGUUUGCUCUUUAAUUUAUGAUAUAUUGCACAUAUGUUCCAAACUUUAGUUUAUUUAGAAUGUCACACUAACACUUUAUUUUUAGGUUAUCAACACAUGCUUAGUAUAGACGAUAGUGCAUGAAAUUAAUCUUGUGUUAGUGCUGAAAAACCUCUAUGUUAUAUUUGUAUACAGAUUGAAUUUUCAUUUAUUGUAUAACCAGUGCCAAGUUGAUUCUAUACAUGUGAUCGAACACGAUAAUUGGUACACUGGGGGAGUGUCCUUUACAAUUCUUUAAUACUAGAAAAAAGUCCCCUCAAUGUUCUAAUACCCUCACUGAACCAAUCGGUUGAAGAGGCUACUUGGGAUACCGAAGCAGACAUGUGCAAGAAGUAUUCCUAAUUAUUCAUCGAUUCAUUAUUUAUCGUGAGUCUUCUAUUUUUCCUUCUUUUUUCAUUUAGAAAUAAACUUAUGUUUAACUAGCAUCUAAUAUAACAACUCAUUUCAUCAUUAUGAUAAUUUAAACGGGAUAUACCUAGACCUUUCGAAUUAUUUAGGGACAUAUUUAAUCAUUUUCCCAUAAAUCAAUAACCGAUGGUUGUGAUAGUUAUAGAGUUGCUUUGACAGGGACCUAAAUAUUUCUUAAAAAAUGAACUCCAAAAGGCCAUUGAAAAAUUGGUACACCAAAUCAAAGUUGAUGUGAAGCAAAACAGAACAAUUUUUACCUCUUAUAUGAUUAUGAAUCGUGACUAUAGUUUAAUGAAAUUUGCUAUUAAAUUCGAGAUUCAUUAGAUUUAUUUGUAUUAAAAAUAAAAAAGACUUUCUUUAUGAUUUGCAUACCUUUUUAUACAAAUCACAUUUAUCUUUCCUCAUUUUUCUCCAGAUUUGAAUUUUGAAUGCUCUUUUUCUCCCUCCUAAUCGUGACAUCUCAAUUCUAAUUAACCGCCUAGACGUGUUUCAACAAACUUCUUAAUUUUAUUUUUCAUUUGUAUAUGAAGAAUCUCAAGUAUUUAUAAAUAUCAAUUUGUUUAUAUUUCAGUAUUUGUAUACGUUUUGAUAGUUUUGUUGUCAUAUUAUACAUAUCUAUAUUUAUUUUUAUAUACACAGACAUCCAUUUCUAUUUUCUGGUACGUAGUUCUAUGUGUUUAUUUAUUUAUUUUUGGUUGUACUUUUUAUUUCUAAUUAUUCCCCAAAAUACCUUAUACAAACCAAAUAUAUAAUUUCAGCAUUUAUAUACAAUUAUAGGGGUGAACAUUUGGUAUUCGGUUCGAUUUCAGUUUUUUUUUCGGUUUUUCAAUUUUUGGUUCUUGUAAAUUGUGUGCCGAAUACCAAACUGAAAUAUUUCAGUUCGGUUCGGUUUUUGUUAUUUCGAUUAGGUUUUUAUUAAUUCGGUUUGGUUUUUUUAUUUUGGUUUUUAAUUCACAAUAAAUUCACACUAACUUGUAACAAAAACAAAAAUAAAAAAUGAAAGAAGUCAAGAACAAAAUGAAAGAAGUCAAGAACAAAGAAGAAAAUUAGAAAAACAAACCUGACUAGGCUGGCUACCGGACGCCGGUCGCCGGUUGAAGACGAAGUGGAUGCAGGCGGCGGCUGAUGGUGGCGGCUGUUGCUGCUGCUGGCGUCUGGCAGGCUGCUUCCUGAAAUAGGAAGAGGAAGAGGUGUUGCCUCCAAGAGAAAGAGGAAUAAGGACAUUACUUUACAUACUUUUUUCUUUUUUUAAAAGAUUAUUUAACAUUAAUAAUUAUUAAUUAAUAUAAUAUAAAUUAUAGUAUAAUAUUUUGAUUUAAACCGAAAUACUAAAAAAUAAAAUAAUACGUACCGAAAAAUGAACCGAAAUACCAAAAAAUAUAAAAAAAAAUAAAUUGAAUACCGAAAUACCAAAAUCGAAAUUUUGAAAAACUUCGAUUUGAUUCGGUAUUUCAGUUUUCCGAUGUUUAUGCCCACCCCUAUACAAUUACUUAUUUAUCUAUAUUAAUAGCUCGUAUACAUUACAUACAAUUGUAUAUAAAGUCCUCAAUUAGCUCUAAAAAGAAAAAUCUAUUAUCAUUAAAUCUUAUAUUAUUUUACAUAUAUAUGGAUCAUUAUUUACCAUAUACAAUUAUGAAAAAUACAGAUAUAUUAUGCAUAAAAAAAGUUAUUCUAUUAUACAAUAGGCACUAUUGCCUUAUAAAAUAAAAUUAUUAAGAGAGAAUGAAAGGAGUAGUAAUUAAAUUAAGAUCAUUCUUUCUUUUGACCGUUAAUACUUCUGUGCCAAAUGAUUCAAAUUAACUCCACGAGGAACCUCCCAAUCAAAGUGAUAAAAUUAAUGCUGUUAAUAUAAGCUAGCCAACUCUUAUCUGGGUUAACCAAUAUAAACUUUAAAAUUUUACGAGUUAGGCUGGGCAAGACUAUUUUUGGCAAGAAAACGGUCACUACAAGAAAAGUAUGAAUUACAUGGAGAUUUUCCUAGGGAUUAGUAUGAAAAUCUGCAAGUAACUUAUUUUCCUGCAAAUCAAUAUAUAUAUAUAAAUGAGGACCAUUGAGGAGGUGAUGUGGCACCUCUAUAUGGCCUCCAUUUGCAUUUAGCUUUUUCCAUCUUUUUUUUUAAAAAAUAAUUAUUAUAUAUCAUAAAAAGUUAUUUAAAUUUAUUACAAAUAAAUAUUUUAUUAAUGGUGGGUCAUUUAUAACAAAAACUCUUCCUAUUUUUUAUUUAUUUAUUUCACUUAUAAUUAAAAGAGAAACAUAAUUUAUUUAUUUUUAACUUUUCUAAUUUAAAUUAAUUAUUUUAUUAUAAAAAUAUAUUACUUCAUUUAUACAAAUAUACAAAUAAAUACUUUAUUAAUG